GGGCUUAUAGCGCAGUGGUAGCGCGCACGCUUUGCAUUACGUAAGGUUGUGGCUGUGCGUGAGGUCCGGGGUUCAAUCCCCCGUGAGUCCA
Non-coding RNA from Armillaria nabsnona, 91 nucleotides. The record is from the annotation of a GenBank genome assembly. Lineage: Eukaryota; Fungi; Basidiomycota; Agaricomycetes; Agaricales; Physalacriaceae.